AACGUAGGAGGCAAGCGUUAUCCGGAGUUACUGGGCGUAAAGGGUGUGCAGGCGGGUGGACAAGUGGUGGAUGAAAGACCCUGGCUUAACUGGGGGAACGUAAACCAGACUGUUCAUCUAGAACAUGAGAGAGGGAUGUGGAAUUCCGGGUGUAGUGGUGAAAUGCGUAGAGAUCCGGAGGAACACCAGAGGCGAAAGCGGCAUCCUGGCUCAUAGUUGACGCUCAGACACGAGAGCAUGGGGAGCGAACGGG
This 253-nucleotide ribosomal RNA is filed under the name uncultured bacterium. RNAcentral's name for it is "partial 16S ribosomal RNA". It matches the Rfam family "Bacterial small subunit ribosomal RNA", at positions 524 to 776 of the family's 1533-position model. The record is from RNAcentral.